This 85-nucleotide transfer RNA is filed under the name Planctomycetaceae bacterium. RNAcentral describes it as "tRNA-Leu". It matches the Rfam family "tRNA". From Rfam's summary of the family: Transfer RNA (tRNA) molecules are approximately 80 nucleotides in length. Their secondary structure includes four short double-helical elements and three loops (D, anti-codon, and T loops). RNAcentral also lists the same sequence under 1 other name. Lineage: Bacteria; Pseudomonadati; Planctomycetota; Planctomycetia; Planctomycetales; Planctomycetaceae. The record is from RNAcentral.
GCGGAUGUGGCGGAACUGGCAGACGCGCUGGGUUCAGGACCCAGUUCUCGUUAAGAGAGUGGAGGUUCGAAUCCUCUCAUCCGCA